Molecule: small nuclear RNA, 161 nt
Organism: Mercurialis annua (annual mercury)
Lineage: Eukaryota; Viridiplantae; Streptophyta; Magnoliopsida; Malpighiales; Euphorbiaceae
Product: U1 spliceosomal RNA
Exons: 1
Source: RefSeq, a predicted model, not a curated record
AUACUUACCUGGAUGGGGUCUAUGGGUUAUCAAUGAGGCCCAUGGCCUAGAGCAGUGGCUUCCAUUGCACUUAGGAGGGGUGCUGGUCUAAGGUCUCCCCAAUGGGGAGAGCCUACAUCAUAAUUUGUGAUAGUGGGGGCCUGCGUUCGCGCGGCCCCUUC